Molecule: ribosomal RNA, 1372 nt
Filed under: uncultured bacterium
Lineage: Bacteria
Description: bacterial SSU rRNA
Rfam family: Bacterial small subunit ribosomal RNA
Source: RNAcentral
GAUGAACGCUGGCGGCGUGCCUAAUACAUGCAAGUCGAGCGAACGGACGAGAAGCUUGCUUCUCUGAUGUUAGCGGCGGACGGGUGAGUAACACGUGGAUAACCUACCUAUAAGACUGGGAUAACUUCGGGAAACCGGAGCUAAUACCGGAUAAUAUUUUGAACCGCAUGGUUCAAAAGUAAAAGACGGUCUUGCUGUCACUUAUAGAUGGAUCCGCGCUGCAUUAGCUAGUUGGUAAGGUAACGGCUUACCAAGGCAACGAUGCAUAGCCGACCUGAGAGGGUGAUCGGCCACACUGGAACUGAGACACGGUCCAGACUCCUACGGGAGGCAGCAGUAGGGAAUCUUCCGCAAUGGGCGAAAGCCUGACGGAGCAACGCCGCGUGAGUGAUGAAGGUCUUCGGAUCGUAAAACUCUGUUAUUAGGGAAGAAUAUAUGUGUAAGUAACUGUGCACAUCUUGACGGUACCUAAUCAGAAAGCCACGGCUAACUACGUGCCAGCAGCCGCGGUAAUACGUAGGUGGCAAGCGUUAUCCGGAAUUAUUGGGCGUAAAGCGCGCGUAGGCGGUUUUUUAAGUCUGAUGUGAAAGCCCACGGCUCAACCGUGGAGGGUCAUUGGAAACUGGAAAACUUGAGUGCAGAAGAGGAAAGUGGAAUUCCAUGUGUAGCGGUGAAAUGCGCAGAGAUAUGGAGGAACACCAGUGGCGAAGGCGACUUUCUGGUCUGUAACUGACGCUGAUGUGCGAAGGCGUGGGGAUCAAACAGGAUUAGAUACCCUGGUAGUCCACGCCGUAAACGAUGAGUGCUAAGUGUUAGGGGGUUUCCGCCCCUUAGUGCUGCAGCUAACGCAUUAAGCACUCCGCCUGGGGAGUACGACCGCAAGGUUGAAACUCAAAGGAAUUGACGGGGACCCGCACAAGCGGUGGAGCAUGUGGUUUAAUUCGAAGCAACGCGAAGAACCUUACCAAAUCUUGACAUCCUUUGACAGCUCUAGAGAUAGAGCCUUCCCCUUCGGGGGACAAAGUGACAGGUGGUGCAUGGUUGUCGUCAGCUCGUGUCGUGAGAUGUUGGGUUAAGUCCCGCAACGAGCGCAACCCUUAAGCUUAGUUGCCAUCAUUAAGUUGGGCACUCUAAGUUGACUGCCGGUGACAAACCGGAGGAAGGUGGGGAUGACGUCAAAUCAUCAUGCCCCUUAUGAUUUGGGCUACACACGUGCUACAAUGGACAAUACAAAGGGCAGCGAAACCGCGAGGUCAAGCAAAUCCCAUAAAGUUGUUCUCAGUUCGGAUUGUAGUCUGCAACUCGACUACAUGAAGCUGGAAUCGCUAGUAAUCGUAGAUCAGCAUGCUACGGUGAAUACGUUCCCGGGUCU